GACGAACGCUGGCGGCGUGCUUAACACAUGCAAGUCGAACGGAAAGGCCCUGCUUUUGUGGGGUGCUCGAGUGGCGAACGGGUGAGUAACACGUGAGUAACCUGCCCUUGACUUUGGGAUAACUUCAGGAAACUGGGGCUAAUACCGGAUAGGAGCUCCUGCUGCAUGGUGGGGGUUGGAAAGUUUCGGCGGUUGGGGAUGGACUCGCGGCUUAUCAGCUUGUUGGUGGGGUAGUGGCUUACCAAGGCUUUGACGGGUAGCCGGCCUGAGAGGGUGACCGGCCACAUUGGGACUGAGAUACGGCCCAGACUCCUACGGGAGGCAGCAGUGGGGAAUAUUGCACAAUGGGCGGAAGCCUGAUGCAGCAACGCCGCGUGCGGGAUGACGGCCUUCGGGUUGUAAACCGCUUUCGCCUGUGACGAAGCGUGAGUGACGGUAAUGGGUAAAGAAGCACCGGCUAACUACGUGCCAGCAGCCGCGGUGAUACGUAGGGUGCGAGCGUUGUCCGGAUUUAUUGGGCGUAAAGGGCUCGUGGGUGGUUGAUCGCGUCGGAAGUGUAAUCUUGGGGCUUAACCCUGAGCGUGCUUUCGAUACGGGUUGACUUGAGGAAGGUAGGGGAGAAUGGAAUUCCUGGUGGAGCGGUGGAAUGCGCAGAUAUCAGGAGGAACACCAGUGGCGAAGGCGGUUCUCUGGGCCUUUCCUGACGCUGAGGAGCGAAAGCGUGGGGAGCGAACAGGCUUAGAUACCCUGGUAGUCCACGCUGUAAACGGUGGGUACUAGGUGUGGGGUCCAUUCCACGGGUUCCGUGCCGUAGCUAACGCUUUAAGUACCCCGCCUGGGGAGUACGGCCGCAAGGCUAAAACUCAAAGGAAUUGACGGGGCCCCGCACAAGCGGCGGAGCAUGCGGAUUAAUUCGAUGCAACGCGUAGAACCUUACCUGGGUUUGACAUGGAUCGGGAGUGCUCAGAGAUGGGUGUGCCUCUUUUGGGGUCGGUUCACAGGUGGUGCAUGGCUGUCGUCAGCUCGUGUCGUGAGAUGUUGGGUUAAGUCCCGCAACGAGCGCAACCCUUGUUCACUGUUGCCAGCACGUUAUGGUGGGGACUCAGUGGAGACCGCCGGGGUCAACUCGGAGGAAGGUGGGGAUGGCGUCAAGUCAUCAUGCCCCUUAUGUCCAGGGCUUCACGCAUGCUACAAUGGCUGGUACAGAGAGUGGCGAGCCUGUGAGGGUGAGCGAAUCUCGGAAAGCCGGUCUCAGUUCGGAUUGGGGUCUGCAACUCGACCUCAUGAAGUCGGAGUCGCUAGUAAUCGCAGAUCAGCAACGCUGCGGUGAAUACGUUCCCGGGGCU
This 1346-nucleotide ribosomal RNA is filed under the name uncultured bacterium. RNAcentral's name for it is "partial 16S ribosomal RNA". It matches the Rfam family "Bacterial small subunit ribosomal RNA", at positions 28 to 1381 of the family's 1533-position model. The record is from RNAcentral.